GACGUAGGGUGCGAGCGUUGUCCGGAAUUACUGGGCGUAAAGAGCUCGUAGGUGGUUUGUCGCGUUGUUCGUGAAAACUCACAGCUUAACUGUGGGCGUGCGGGCGAUACGGGCAGACUGGAGUACUGCAGGGGAGACUGGAAUUCCUGGUGUAGCGGUGGAAUGCGCAGAUAUCAGGAGGAACACCGGUGGCGAAGGCGGGUCUCUGGGCAGUAACUGACGCUGAGGAGCGAAAGCGUGGGGAGCGAACAGG
RNAcentral lists this ribosomal RNA (253 nucleotides) under uncultured bacterium. RNAcentral describes it as "partial 16S ribosomal RNA". It matches the Rfam family "Bacterial small subunit ribosomal RNA", at positions 524 to 776 of the family's 1533-position model. The record is from RNAcentral.